Molecule: non-coding RNA, 31 nt
Filed under: Rattus norvegicus (Norway rat)
Lineage: Eukaryota; Metazoa; Chordata; Mammalia; Rodentia; Muridae
Source: RNAcentral
UGCAAACCAGUGCAAACCUUAUUUUACAGAG